Long non-coding RNA from Impatiens glandulifera, 738 nucleotides. RefSeq lists it as uncharacterized. The record is from RefSeq and is a predicted model, not a curated record. The transcript is spliced from 2 exons. Lineage: Eukaryota; Viridiplantae; Streptophyta; Magnoliopsida; Ericales; Balsaminaceae.
AAAAAGAAACCUAAAAUUUUGAAGUCUCCAAAUGGUGAAUUCAGCUCAAUAGCUAUUAUCACAGUAUACAGAGAUAGAGAGAGGGAGGGGAUGGGAGCGAGUAGCAAAGUAGCGGACUUGUCAUUCAAGGUGGUGACCGCAGGUCUCGGUCUGGCCACCAUAUAUUCGAUUACUGCUUUCUCCAUCAAUUAUUACAACGGUCGCACCAAGAGGCAAGUCUUUAUCGAGAAUAUGGAGCAAAAGAGAUCCAUUAAUAAAAAGCCUAAGCAGGCUGAAGAACAAAAACGACAAGAACCAAGAUGAUGAAGCACAUCAUUCCAAUCCUUUAAAUUUUGAUCAUGUUGACUUGUUACUAAAAGGGGUGUGAAGGAAGAUAACUUCUUCGUAACCAUAGUAAUUGUAUUUUCGGCGACCAAUUGCAUUUUCUUUCUGCCAUUUCUUUGUUUGAAAUUUAAUAGUGGUCUUUGUUUAAUAAUCCCUGCAGACUGUAAUGUGUCCAUUUAUAUUUUUCUUUAUGUUGUAGUUUUAUGCUUAGAAACCAGCAUUAAAUUGCAAUUUGAUUAUCUUUUUUUUUGACAAAUAUUACUCGAUCAAAGGUUCAAAGUUACCUAGAGAAGUGUUGAUAAACUUUGUAGCAGGUACAAUGAACCACCCUUAGUAACUCAAUGGUAAUAAGCUAGUUUUAAGAGUAACUUCUAUUCUCAUGAAUGUACUCUAUUGAACUAAAGAUUACGAAGA